This 489-nucleotide ribosomal RNA is filed under the name Pantoea vagans. RNAcentral's name for it is "partial 23S ribosomal RNA". It matches the Rfam family "Bacterial large subunit ribosomal RNA", at positions 1 to 521 of the family's 2925-position model. Lineage: Bacteria; Pseudomonadati; Pseudomonadota; Gammaproteobacteria; Enterobacterales; Erwiniaceae. The record is from RNAcentral.
GGGUUGUGAGGUUAAGCGACUAAGCGUACACGGUGGAUGCCCAGGCAGUCAGAGGCGAUGAAGGACGUGCUAAUCUGCGUAAAGCGACGGUAAGGUGAUAUGAACCGCUACAGCCGUCGAUGUCCGAAUGGGGAAACCCGGUGCACUCUGUGCAUCAUUGCAGCAUGAAUACAUAGUGCUGCAAGGCGAACCGGGGGAACUGAAACAUCUAAGUACCCCGAGGAAAAGAAAUCAACCGAGAUUCCCCCAGUAGCGGCGAGCGAACGGGGAGCAGCCCAGAGCCUGAAUCAGCAUGUGUGUUAGUGGAAGCGUCUGGAAAGUCGCAGGGUACAGGGUGAUACUCCCGUACACAAAAGCGCAUAUGCUGUGAGCUCGAUGAGUAAGGCGGGACACGUGGUAUCCUGUCUGAAUAUGGGGGGACCAUCCUCCAAGGCUAAAUACUCCUGACUGACCGAUAGUGAACCAGUACCGUGAGGGAAAGGCGAAAAG